RNAcentral lists this ribosomal RNA (309 nucleotides) under uncultured eukaryote. Its description in RNAcentral is "partial 18S ribosomal RNA". It matches the Rfam family "Eukaryotic small subunit ribosomal RNA", at positions 1470 to 1796 of the family's 1831-position model. The record is from RNAcentral.
CCCUUAGAUGUUCUGGGCGGCCCGCGCACUACAUUGGCACUCUCAAUAAGUUCCUAGAUCUAAAACUUUGGGGUAUUCUAUUAAGUGGUGUCGUGACUGGGAUUAACCCUUGCAAUUAUUGGUUACGAACGAGGAAUUCCUUGUAAUCGCGGUUUAUCAGCCCGCGUUGAAUGCGUCCCUGCCCUUUGUACACACCGCCCGUCGCUCCUACCGAUGAAUCGUCCGGUGAAGUUCAUGGAGUGGUGGUUGUUCCAGCUGCUGUCGAAGUGAAAUGGACCUCACGAUUUAGAGGAAGGAGAAGGCGGAACA